UGGUGUCUUGUCUCAUAUAAUCACACAGCAACAUUUAAAUCAUUUAGACUAAUGGAGUGUUUCCUGUUUGUAAUUUAUUCUGUCAAGUGUCCAUUUAAUUCAUCAAUAUAUUCAAUUUUAUAAAUAGCUGAACAUGUAUCUUAAGUUCCUCUAAGAGGGAAUUCAAACUCUUUGAGAUAAACAUUUUUUAAAGUGCUGUAAUAGUUACUUUGACUAGCAAUUACUUACUAGUUACAUUUUUGAAGAAUUCACUGGUAAGCGUAACUAAUUACUUCCUGCCGAACAUCGAUCCUCGCAAUACUUCAAAACUUUAAAAUGAAUUACACACUCUCAAUGUAAAAGCUUGAACUGAGUACCGGUACUAUUUUUUUUUUAACAGAUGAAAUAAAUGCAGAUCUUUAAAAUGUUUCCUCCUAGAGUCUGAGUGUGUGUGUGUGUGUGUGUGUGUGUGUGUGUGUGUGUGUGUGUGUGUGUGUGUGUGUGUGUGUGUGUGUGUGUGUGUGUGUGUGUGUGUGUGUGUGUGUGUGUGUGUAUCAGUUCAUUGAACACUACAGCUGCAUCUCCAAACAGUAAAAGUUCAAUACAAACUGAAACGCUUCAUUGAAUCUCAAAAUGACUUCAUUUCGAAAUUAAGGUCAGAAGUUUCUUUCCUGGUUUGAGGCGUUUUUACUUUGAUGCUGUGGAUUUAAAAACACAAACACACAAAAAAAAAAAACAGUUUGCAUUGUGAUUCUGCUCUGCGGUGAAAAAAGCCGGCUGGACGCUCCGUUCUGCAGCACGCCGCUCUAAACGCAUGUCAGGUUAUUCCGGCUCAGAACUCAGAAGCAGCUUGUAAAACACGCCGAGCCCUAAAAACGGCAGCAGGAACUCCUCCAGUCUGCACGUUCAUCCAGCGUCGAGGCGUCUGGAGCCGCGGCGGGUUCCACACUUCAGGCGGACCGCGGUCUGAGUCGGUUUGUCGGCAGACUGAGACCUGAUUUUCGGACUGUUUGCUUUUUGACGGACUGCACUAAAACUAAAACAACAACAACAGCAACAGGUCGACUGAAGCCUCCCGAGCUGGUGCCAAGAAAAAAAACAAGUAAACCUGUGAAAACACAUUUUAUCACAAGAUCAAAGACGUGUGCAUAUUCUGGAGGCAAAACCAAACAUCCAGAGUUCAGUAUUCAUUCAUCACAUCAGUUCAUUAGCAGCGUUUUUCACUGAAAUCAGGGUUUACAUGAGUCUGGAAUCCUGCGAUUCAUUUCAUCCAGACGAGCCGCAGCUGCGUGGGUCAGAGGUUAUUGUUUCACUCGUGUCCAUCAACUCAUUGCCUCUGGAGUUUUGGUGAUUGGACAGGAUUUCUCGGCUCUUCUGUGAAGCUUCUGCUGUUUCAUGUUGAAUUUGGUGCUUCAGUUCUCAGUGUUUUAUUUCGUUUCAGUGAAGAAUCUCUGUACGAACCUGAGGUGUAUUAAAGACGUGUAAAAGCAGCAGA
Long non-coding RNA from Salarias fasciatus (jewelled blenny), 1474 nucleotides. RefSeq lists it as uncharacterized. The record is from RefSeq and is a predicted model, not a curated record. The transcript is spliced from 2 exons. Lineage: Eukaryota; Metazoa; Chordata; Actinopteri; Blenniiformes; Blenniidae.